This is a long non-coding RNA of Daphnia carinata, 831 nucleotides long. RefSeq lists it as uncharacterized. The record is from RefSeq and is a predicted model, not a curated record. Lineage: Eukaryota; Metazoa; Arthropoda; Branchiopoda; Diplostraca; Daphniidae. The transcript has 3 exons.
AGACUCGUCCGGCAUCAUGUCGAUGGCAGCAUCGGUAUCAGCUUCCAUCGCGGCAUCAUCCACUAGAGCGACAGACAGUCCGGCAUCUUCAGCGACAGGCUGACCUACAGCGAUGGCCACCAAGCCUAAUACGAUGAUCUGUCAAACUAGAAAUGGAAAGAUGUUUGUUUGCAAGAGAGCCAGUGUUUACUGAUGUUUUGAAUACUCAACUGCGCGGGCUUAUAUACCAAGUUUCUUUCGCCCGUCCGUUUCGCUUUCAUUGCCAGUAGGUUGCACCCUGCACAGCAUCUGUCGGUUAGGAAAUUUUUUUUCCAUCGCGGAAAUCCUCGUAACAAUCAGGCCAAGGUUGUAGAGGUACCUGCUUCUUCGAGAGACUAUCUUUCUAGUUCUGUGCACGUAGUACAUUAAUCUGUCUCUACAUCCAUCGCAAAAACGCGAUGAUAAUGUAUAUUCGCCAAGGUUUCCCAUUAUCAAAAUGAAACUAUUUCCCGUUUAGCAAGUGUUUAAUCGCCUUUCCUGUGUAAGUGUAAUUUUUCGAACCAAGACCUUACCUUAUUUAUGACUGCUAUAGCUUUUUACCGCUUUUCUUUUCAAGUUUCGUUUGAACGUUACCAUUAGCUUCUGUCCCGUUUUAAUGGAACUGGCCUUCGGGAUAUGCAGAACAUGUUUUCGGGUCCAUUGUCUACAAAUUAGGAACCGUAACGAGGUAACUUGAUUUCGUGACAAGUGAUCGUGGUACUUAAAUUAUGAUAGUCAUCUGUAGUGUUGUUCACCUUCUUAUGACAGGAUUUGAUUUUCUGCAUUUCGGGAUUUCCUGAUUUUUUCUAACCU